GACGAACGCUGGCGGCGUGCUUAACACAUGCAAGUCGAACGGAAAGGCCCUGCUUUUGUGGGGUGCUCGAGUGGCGAACGGGUGAGUAACACGUGAGUAACCUGCCCUUGACUUUGGGAUAACUUCAGGAAACUGGGGCUAAUACCGGAUAGGAGCUCCUGCUGCAUGGUGGGGGUUGGAAAGUCUCGGCGGUUGGGGAUGGACUCGCGGCUUAUCAGCUUGUUGGUGGGGUAGUGGCUUACCAAGGCUUUGACGGGUAGCCGGCCUGAGAGGGUGACCGGCCACAUUGGGACUGAGAUACGGCCCAGACUCCUACGGGAGGCAGCAGUGGGGAAUAUUGCACAAUGGGCGGAAGCCUGAUGCAGCAACGCCGCGUGCGUGAUGACGGCCUGCGGGUUGUAAACCGCUUUCGCCUGUGACGAAGCGUGAGUGACGGUAAUGGGUAAAGAAGCACCGGCUAACUACGUG
RNAcentral lists this ribosomal RNA (468 nucleotides) under uncultured bacterium. Its description in RNAcentral is "partial 16S ribosomal RNA". It matches the Rfam family "Bacterial small subunit ribosomal RNA", at positions 28 to 507 of the family's 1533-position model. The record is from RNAcentral.